The sequence is a ribosomal RNA, 1047 nucleotides long. It matches the Rfam family "Bacterial small subunit ribosomal RNA", at positions 86 to 1144 of the family's 1533-position model.
GGUGGAUUAGUGGCGAACGGGUGAGUAACACGUGAGUAACCUGCCCUUAACUCUGGGAUAAGCCUGGGAAACUGGGUCUAAUACCGGAUAGGAGCGCCUACCGCAUGGUGGGUGUUGGAAAGAUUUAUCGGUUUUGGAUGGACUCGCGGCCUAUCAGCUUGUUGGUGAGGUAAUGGCUCACCAAGGCGACGACGGGUAGCCGGCCUGAGAGGGUGACCGGCCACACUGGGACUGAGACACGGCCCAGACUCCUACGGGAGGCAGCAGUGGGGAAUAUUGCACAAUGGGCGAAAGCCUGAUGCAGCGACGCCGCGUGAGGGAUGACGGCCUUCGGGUUGUAAACCUCUUUCAGUAGGGAAGAAGCGAAAGUGACGGUACCUGCAGAAGAAGCACCGGCUAACUACGUGCCAGCAGCCGCGGUAAUACGUAGGGUGCGAGCGUUAUCCGGAAUUAUUGGGCGUAAAGAGCUCGUAGGCGGUUUGUCGCGUCUGUCGUGAAAGUCCGGGGCUUAACCCCGGAUCUGCGGUGGGUACGGGCAGACUAGAGUGCAGUAGGGGAGACUGGAAUUCCUGGUGUAGCGGUGGAAUGCGCAGAUAUCAGGAGGAACACCGAUGGCGAAGGCAGGUCUCUGGGCUGUAACUGACGCUGAGGAGCGAAAGCAUGGGGAGCGAACAGGAUUAGAUACCCUGGUAGUCCAUGCCGUAAACGUUGGGCACUAGGUGUGGGGACCAUUCCACGGUUUCCGCGCCGCAGCUAACGCAUUAAGUGCCCCGCCUGGGGAGUACGGCCGCAAGGCUAAAACUCAAAGGAAUUGACGGGGGCCCGCACAAGCGGCGGAGCAUGCGGAUUAAUUCGAUGCAACGCGAAGAACCUUACCAAGGCUUGACAUGUUCUCGAUCGCCGUAGAGAUACGGUUUCCCCUUUGGGGCGGGUUCACAGGUGGUGCAUGGUUGUCGUCAGCUCGUGUCGUGAGAUGUUGGGUUAAGUCCCGCAACGAGCGCAACCCUCGUUCCAUGUUGCCAGCACGUAAUGGUGGGGGACUCAUGG